This 465-nucleotide ribosomal RNA is filed under the name uncultured Prevotellaceae bacterium. RNAcentral describes it as "bacterial SSU rRNA". It matches the Rfam family "Bacterial small subunit ribosomal RNA", at positions 53 to 506 of the family's 1533-position model. The record is from RNAcentral. Lineage: Bacteria; Pseudomonadati; Bacteroidota; Bacteroidia; Bacteroidales; Prevotellaceae.
CCCUGCAAGUCGCGGGGCAGCAUGAAGGAUGCUUGCCUCCUUUGAUGGCGACCGGCGCACGGGUGAGUAACGCGUAUCCCACCUGCCUGUUACCCCGGCACAGCCCGUCCAAAGGCGGAUUAAUGCCCUAUGUGGUCCUAAGCGGGCAUCUAAUUAGGACUAAAGGAUUGGCGGUAACGGAUGGAGAUGCGUCCGAUUAGCUUGACGGCGGGGUAACGGCCCACCGUGGCCACGAUCGGUAGGGGUUCUGAGAGGAAGGUCCCCCACAUUGGAACUGAGACACGGUCCAAACUCCUACGGGAGGCAGCAGUGAGGAAUAUUGGUCAAUGGGCGAGAGCCUGAACCAGCCAAGUAGCGUGAGGGAAGACUGCCCCUAUGGGUUGUAAACCUCUUUUGUGCGGGGAUAAAGUGAGGGACGUGUCCCUCAUUGCAGGUACCGCACGAAUAAGGACCGGCUAAUUCCGU